CGAGGGGAGUGAAAAAGAACCUGAAACCGUGUACGUACAAGCAGUGGGAGCACCCUUUGGGGUGUGACUGCGUACCUUUUGUAUAAUGGGUCAGCGACUUAUAUUCUGUAGCAAGGUUAACCGAAUAGGGGAGCCGGAGGGAAACCGAGUCUUAAUUGGGCGUUAAGUUGCAGGGUAUAGACCCGAAACCCGGUGAUCUAGCCAUGGGCAGGUUGAAGGUUGGGUAACACUAACUGGAGGACCGAACCGACUAAUGUUGAAAAAUUAGCGGAUGACCUGUGGCUGGGGGUGAAAGGCCAAUCAAACCGGGAGAUAGCUGGUUCUCCCCGAAAGCUAUUUAGGUAGCGCCUCGUGAAUUCAUCUCCGGGGGUAGAGCACUGUUUCGGCUAGGGGGCCAUCCCGGCUUACCAACCCGAUGCAAACUGCGAAUACCGGAGAAUGUUAUCACGGGAGACACACGGCGGGUGCUAACGUCCGUCGUGAAGAGGGAAACAACCCAGACCGCCAGCUAAGGUCCCAAAGUCAUAGUUAAGUGGGAAACGAUGUGGGAAGGCCCAGACAGCCAGGAUGUUGGCUUAGAAGCAGCCAUCAUUUAAAGAAAGCGUAAUAGCUCACUGGUCGAGUCGGCCUGCGCGGAAGAUGUAACGGGGCUAAACUAUGCACCGAAGCUGCGGCAGCGACACUAUGUGUUGUUGGGUAGGGGAGCGUUCUGUAAGCCUGUGAAGGUGUGUCGUGAGGCAUGCUGGAGGUAUCAGAAGUGCGAAUGCUGACAUAAGUAACGAUAAAGCGGGUGAAAAGCCCGCUCGCCGGAAGACCAAGGGUUCCUGUCCAACGUUAAUCGGGGCAGGGUGAGUCGACCCCUAAGGCGAGGCCGAAAGGCGUAGUCGAUGGGAAACGGGUUAAUAUUCCCGUACUUGGUGUUACUGCGAAGGGGGGACGGAGAAGGCUAUGUUGGCCGGGCGACGGUUGUCCCGGUUUAAGCGUGUAGGUGUGUGUUCCAGGUAAAUCCGGUUCACUUUAACACUGAGGCGUGAUGACGAGGCACUACGGUGCUGAAGCAACAAAUGCCCUGCUUCCAGGAAAAGCCUCUAAGCAUCAGGUAACAUCAAAUCGUACCCCAAACCGACACAGGUGGUCAGGUAGAGAAUACCAAGGCGCUUGAGAGAACUCGGGUGAAGGAACUAGGCAAAAUGGUGCCGUAACUUCGGGAGAAGGCACGCUGACACGUAGGUGAAGUGAUUUACUCAUGGAGCUGAAGUCAGUCGAAGAUACCAGCUGGCUGCAACUGUUUAUUAAAAACACAGCACUGUGCAAACACGAAAGUGGACGUAUACGGUGUGACGCCUGCCCGGUGCCGGAAGGUUAAUUGAUGGGGUCAGCGCAAGCGAAGCUCCUGAUCGAAGCCCCGGUAAACGGCGGCCGUAACUAUAACGGUCCUAAGGUAGCGAAAUUCCUUGUCGGGUAAGUUCCGACCUGCACGAAUGGCGUAAUGAUGGCCAGGCUGUCUCCACCCGAGACUCAGUGAAAUUGAACUCGCUGUGAAGAUGCAGUGUACCCGCGGCAAGACGGAAAGACCCCGUGAACCUUUACUAUAGCUUGACACUGAACAUUGAGCCUUGAUGUGUAGGAUAGGUGGGAGGCUUUGAAGUGUGGACGCCAGUCUGCAUGGAGCCGACCUUGAAAUACCACCCUUUAAUGUUUGAUGUUCUAACGUGGACCCGUGAUCCGGGUUGCGGACAGUGUCUGGUGGGUAGUUUGACUGGGGCGGUCUCCUCCUAAAGAGUAACGGAGGAGCACGAAGGUUGGCUAAUCCUGGUCGGACAUCAGGAGGUUAGUGCAAUGGCAUAAGCCAGCUUGACUGCGAGCGUGACGGCGCGAGCAGGUGCGAAAGCAGGUCAUAGUGAUCCGGUGGUUCUGAAUGGAAGGGCCAUCGCUCAACGGAUAAAAGGUACUCCGGGGAUAACAGGCUGAUACCGCCCAAGAGUUCAUAUCGACGGCGGUGUUUGGCACCUCGAUGUCGGCUCAUCACAUCCUGGGGCUGAAGUAGGUCCCAAGGGUAUGGCUGUUCGCCAUUUAAAGUGGUACGCGAGCUGGGUUUAGAACGUCGUGAGACAGUUCGGUCCCUAUCUGCCGUGGGCGCUGGAGAACUGAGGGGGGCUGCUCCUAGUACGAGAGGACCGGAGUGGACGCAUCACUGGUGUUCGGGUUGUCAUGCCAAUGGCACUGCCCGGUAGCUAAAUGCGGAAGAGAUAAGUGCUGAAAGCAUCUAAGCACGAAACUUGCCCCGAG
This 2289-nucleotide ribosomal RNA is filed under the name Salmonella enterica subsp. enterica serovar Newport. RNAcentral describes it as "partial 23S ribosomal RNA". It matches the Rfam family "Bacterial large subunit ribosomal RNA", at positions 530 to 2803 of the family's 2925-position model. The record is from RNAcentral. Lineage: Bacteria; Pseudomonadati; Pseudomonadota; Gammaproteobacteria; Enterobacterales; Enterobacteriaceae.